Acanthosepion pharaonis is the source of this 108-nucleotide non-coding RNA. The record is from the annotation of a GenBank genome assembly. Lineage: Eukaryota; Metazoa; Mollusca; Cephalopoda; Sepiida; Sepiidae.
CCGUAUCGUGUUGAAACGCCGGUUCUCAUGCGAUCACCAAAGUUAAGAAAUGUCGACCCUGGCCAGUACCUCGAUGGGAGACUGCUUGGGAAUAUCAGGUGCUGUAAG